GGGAGAACUGAAACAUCUAAGUACCCCGAGGAAAAGAAAUCAACCGAGAUUCCCUCAGUAGCGGCGAGCGAACGGGGAUUAGCCCUUAAGCAUCUUGGAAGUUAGUGGAACGGUCCUGGAAAGGCCGGCGAUACAGGGUGAUAGCCCCGUACACGAAAACAACCUUGAUGUGAAAUCGAGUAGGGCGGGACACGUGACAUCCUGUCUGAAUAUGGGGGGACCAUCCUCCAAGGCUAAAUACUCCUGACUGACCGAUAGUGAACCAGUACCGUGAGGGAAAGGCGAAAAGAACCCCUGUGAGGGGAGUGAAAUAGAACCUGAAACCGUGUACGUACAAGCAGUGGGAGCCCUUCGGGGUGACUGCGUACCUUUUGUAUAAUGGGUCAGCGACUUACAUUUUGUAGCGAGGUUAACCGUAUAGGGGAGCCGUAGGGAAACCGAGUCUUAACUGGGCGUCUAGUUGCAAGGUGUAGACCCGAAACCGGGUGAUCUAGCCAUGGGCAGGUUGAAGGUUGAGUAACAUCAACUGGAGGACCGAACCCACUAACGUUGCAAAGUUAGGGGAUGACCUGUGGCUGGGGGUGAAAGGCCAAUCAAACUCGGAGAUAGCUGGUUCUCCCCGAAAGCUAUUUAGGUAGCGCCUCGGACGAAUACUACUGGGGGUAGAGCACUGUUUGGGCUAGGGGGUCAUCCCGACUUACCAACCCCAUGCAAACUCCGAAUACCAGUAAGUAAUAUCCGGGAGACACACGGCGGGUGCUAACGUCCGUCGUGAAGAGGGAAACAACCCAGACCGCCGGCUAAGGUCCCAAAGUUCUGGUUAAGUGGGAAACGAUGUGGGAAGGCUCAGACAGCUAGGAUGUUGGCUUAGAAGCAGCCAUCAUUUAAAGAAAGCGUAAUAGCUCACUAGUCGAGUCGGCCUGCGCGGAAGAUGUAACGGGGCUCAAACCAGGCACCGAAGCCGCGGAUUCACGCUAAGCGUGAGUGGUAGGGGAGCGUUCUGUAAGUCUGCGAAGGUGUGUCGAGAGGCAUGCUGGAGAUAUCAGAAGUGCGAAUGCUGACGUAAGUAACGAUAAAGGGGGUGAAAAGCCUCCUCGCCGGAAGACCAAGGGUUCCUGUCCAACGUUAAUCGGGGCAGGGUGAGUCGACCCCUAAGGCGAGGCCGAAAGGCGUAGUCGAUGGGAAGCAGGUUAAUAUUCCUGCACGACUUGUAAUUGCGAUGGGGGGACGGAGAAGGCUAGGUGGGCCAGGCGACGGUUGUCCUGGUGAAAGUGCGUAGGUGGUGUUUCUAGGCAAAUCCGGAGACACA
This 1309-nucleotide ribosomal RNA is filed under the name Aeromonas hydrophila. RNAcentral's name for it is "partial 23S ribosomal RNA". It matches the Rfam family "Bacterial large subunit ribosomal RNA", at positions 186 to 1552 of the family's 2925-position model. Lineage: Bacteria; Pseudomonadati; Pseudomonadota; Gammaproteobacteria; Aeromonadales; Aeromonadaceae. The record is from RNAcentral.